Molecule: ribosomal RNA, 433 nt
Filed under: uncultured bacterium
Lineage: Bacteria
Description: partial 16S ribosomal RNA
Rfam family: Bacterial small subunit ribosomal RNA
Source: RNAcentral
AACGAACGCUGGCGGCAUGCCUAACACAUGCAAGUCGAACGAGACCUUCGGGUCUAGUGGCGCACGGGUGCGUAACGCGACGGAACCUGCCCUUAGGUUCGGAAUAACUCUCCGAAAGGGGUGCUAAUACCGGAUAAUGUCUUCGAACCAAAGAUUUAUCGCCUUUGGAUGGGCCCGCGUUGGAUUAGCUAGUUGGUAGGGUAAAAGCCUACCAAGGCGACGAUCCAUAGCUGGUCUGAGAGGAGGAUCAGCCACACUGGGACUGAGACACGGCCCAGACUCCUACGGGAGGCAGCAGUGGGGAAUAUUGGACGAUGGGCGAAAGCCUGAUCCAGCAAUGCCGCGUGAGUGAGGAAGGCCUUAGGGUUGUAAAGCUCUUUUACCCGGGAUGAUAAUGACAGUACCGGGAGAAUAAGCGCCGGCUAACUCCGUG